Molecule: small RNA, 485 nt
Filed under: uncultured bacterium
Lineage: Bacteria
Description: bacterial SSU rRNA
Rfam family: Bacterial small subunit ribosomal RNA
Source: RNAcentral
UGGCUGUCGUCAGCUCGUGUCGUGAGAUGUUGGGUUAAGUCCCGCAACGAGCGCAACCCUUAUCCUUUGUUGCCAGCACGUAAAGGUGGGAACUCAAAGGAGACUGCCGCAGACAAUGCGGAGGAAGGCGGGGAUGACGUCAAGUCAUCAUGCCCCUUAUGUCCUGGGCUACACACGUACUACAAUGGGCUUAAACAAAGCGAAGCAAACCUGCGAAGGUAAGCCAAACGCAUAAACAAGCUCUCAGUUCGGAUCGGAGGCUGCAACUCGCCUCCGUGAAGUCGGAAUCGCUAGUAAUCGCAGGUCAGCAUACUGCGGUGAAUACGUUCCCGGGCCUUGUACACACCGCCCGUCACACCACGAAAGUUGGAAACACCCGAAGCCGGUGGGGUAACCGUAAGGAGCCCACCGUCUAAGGUGGGGCCGAUGAUUGGGGUGAACUCCUAACAACGUACCCGUAUCCGAACGUGCCGCUGGAUCACCUC